This 468-nucleotide ribosomal RNA is filed under the name uncultured bacterium. Its description in RNAcentral is "partial 16S ribosomal RNA". It matches the Rfam family "Bacterial small subunit ribosomal RNA", at positions 28 to 507 of the family's 1533-position model. The record is from RNAcentral.
GACGAACGCUGGCGGCGUGCUUAACACAUGCAAGUCGAACGGAAAGGCCCUGCUUUUGUGGGGUGCUCGAGUGGCGAACGGGUGAGUAACACGUGAGUAACCUGCCCUUGACUUUGGGAUAACUUCAGGAAACUGGGGCUAAUACCGGAUAGGAGCUCCUGCUGCAUGGUGGGGGUUGGAAAGUUUCGGCGGUUGGGGAUGGACUCGCGGCUUAUCAGCUUGUUGGUGGGGUAGUGGCUUACCAAGGCUUUGACGGGUAGCCGGCCUGAGAGGGUGACCGGCCACAUUGGGACUGCGAUACGGCCCAGCCUCCUACGGGAGGCAGCAGUGGGGAAUGUUGCACAAUGGGCGGAAGCCUGAUGCAGCAACGCCGCGUGCGGGAUGACGGCCUUCGGGUUAUAAACCGCUUUCGCCUGUGACGAAGCGUGAGUGACGGUAAUGGGUAAAGAAGCACCGGCUAACUACGUG